ACGGAGGGGGCUAGCGUUGUUCGGAAUUACUGGGCGUAAAGCGCACGUAGGCGGACUGGAAAGUCAGAGGUGAAAUCCCAGGGCUCAACCUUGGAACUGCCUUUGAAACUAUCAGUCUGGGGUCCGAGAGAGGUGAGUGGAAUUCCGAGUGUAGAGGUGAAAUUCGUAGAUAUUCGGAGGAACACCAGUGGCGAAGGCGGCUCACUGGCUCGGUACUGACGCUGAGGUGCGAAAGCGUGGGGAGCAAACAGG
RNAcentral lists this ribosomal RNA (252 nucleotides) under uncultured bacterium. Its description in RNAcentral is "partial 16S ribosomal RNA". It matches the Rfam family "Bacterial small subunit ribosomal RNA", at positions 525 to 776 of the family's 1533-position model. The record is from RNAcentral.